This 18-nucleotide transfer RNA is filed under the name Hyloxalus insulatus. RNAcentral's name for it is "partial tRNA-Phe". The record is from RNAcentral. Lineage: Eukaryota; Metazoa; Chordata; Amphibia; Anura; Dendrobatidae.
CCUAAAGUCCUUUAACGC